AUGCUGAAGCUAGUACGGGACCACAUUGAGGAGGGGGCAAAAAUCACCGGCACACCGGAGUGCCCCCCCUUCGCUCGCAAGCCCCGAGCUAGAGUGCACUUGGGGCCGCGAACGCUGUCAGGUACCCGAUUUGGGGGCGAGCGAGUCACCAGCAAGAUCGCCAAAGCCUUCCCCCUGGAGGAGGCUUUGGUGUUGUUCCCAAAGCCGGGGGACUGGCUGGUGGGGCGAGCAGAGGAAAUCCCCACCACACGCCACCACCGAGGGCGAUGUUGUGCGGGAGGCUGGAGCGCUGUGUCCCCGACGGCUGGGAAGGACCAGUGCACACGGGCUGCCCCCGUCACCCUGCGCUGUCCAGAGACCCGUGGAUUCCUCGAGGCCCGUCGGGGGCGCCCCUCGGCCCAGAGCAUUUGGGCAGGGUGGGGGUGGCGGGACCCAGGUCCAGUCCCCAGUCCCCGGCUGGGCGCUGCCCCAGGAGCCGCAGAGAGCGAUGGCACUCACAAGGCGCAGUUGAGUGCACCCACUCGAGGGGUUCCCUUUGCGGACUCACCCCCGAGAGCACUUAAGUGCGCACCCACUUUGGCUCUGGUCCAUUGCCACUCACACGGAAACUCCUACGCAAACAGCACACACAUCCGCGCCUACACUCAGCUUUACAAACACGCUUCCACACGCGCGCACACACAAACACGCACUCACGUACACUUUCCCUCACAAAUGUACUCGUAUACACGGCCAUACCAAGCACAUUUACACAGACACACAACCGCAAACACACAUACAGCGCUGUGCAACCCCCAAUACACUAAUAAACAGGAAACAUUCCCCUGGGCAUUAAAUCCUCACGUUCACGUACAUAUACAAACACAUACCCUACGCCCCCCUCCCUUUCACACCCAGAAGCCGCCCCCCGCUCGUGAUUUGCUGCACCCUCAGUCCCAAAUCAUAAUCGGCGCCCGCACAGCACGGGUUGGACACACACACUCGCGCGCAAGCAAGCCUCUCCUCCCAGCACAGGCGGGGGAGGCUUCGGCCCCGCGCCGGUUUCGGAUUCCAGGUGUGGCUGGUACUCCGCGCUCCGUGUUUUGCAGUCCGCCGCGGUGUCGGAGGCGAGGCGAGGAAGGGAGCUGGAAUAACAAAGGCAAGUUGGGGAGAGCGCAAGGGGGCGCAGCCCCGGCCGGGCCGCGGGGGGAGCCCUGCACGGCCUGGGUUUUGCAGGCUGCGAGGGUCUCGGGCGCCAGGAGCCGGAGGUGGGGAGGGAGUGGGGGGGCGAGUGGGGGUCGAGGGGCGGGGCCGCGGCGUGACGUCAGAGAACAAUGA
RNAcentral lists this long non-coding RNA (1317 nucleotides) under Felis catus (domestic cat). RNAcentral describes it as "lncRNA (ENSFCAG00000046808.1)". Lineage: Eukaryota; Metazoa; Chordata; Mammalia; Carnivora; Felidae. The record is from RNAcentral.